ACCUACGGGGCGCAGCAGUGGGGAGUAUUGCACAAUGGGGAAAACCCUGAUGCAGCGACGCCGCGUGAGCGAAGAAGUAUUUCGGUAUGUAAAGCUCUAUCAGCAGGGAAGAAAAAUGACGGUACCUGAGUAAGAAGCACCGGCUAAAUACGUGCCAGCAGCCGCGGUAAUACGUAUGGUGCAAGCGUUAUCCGGAUUUACUGGGUGUAAAGGGAGCGCAGGCGGUGCGGCAAGUCUGAUGUGAAAGCCCGGGGUUCAACCCCGGGACUGCAUUGGAAACUAACGAACUAGAGUGUAGGAGAGGG
Molecule: ribosomal RNA, 305 nt
Filed under: uncultured bacterium
Lineage: Bacteria
Description: bacterial SSU rRNA
Rfam family: Bacterial small subunit ribosomal RNA
Source: RNAcentral